Molecule: ribosomal RNA, 894 nt
Filed under: uncultured bacterium
Lineage: Bacteria
Description: bacterial SSU rRNA
Rfam family: Bacterial small subunit ribosomal RNA
Source: RNAcentral
AGGACGAAACGCUGGCGGGCGUGCUUAACCCAUGCAAGUCGAACCGGUGAAGGUGGGAGGCUUGCUCCUGCUGGAUCAAUGGCGAACCGGGUGAGUAACACGUGAGUAACCUGCCCCUUGACUCUGGGAUAAAGCGUUGGAAACGACGUCUAAUACCGGAAUACGAGCUUCAGCCGCAUGGCUAGGAAGUUGGAAAGAAUUUUCGGUUCAAGGAUGGACCUUCGCGGCCCUAUCAGCUUGUUGGUGAGGUAAUGGCUCACCAAGGGCGACGACGGGUAGCCGGCCUGAGAGGGUGACCGGCCACACUGGGACUGAGACACGGCCCAGACUCCUACGGGAGGCAGCAGUGGGGAAUAUUGCACAAUGGGCGCAAGCCUGAUGCAGCAACGCCGCGUGAGGGACGACGGCCUUCGGGUUGUAAACCUCUUUUAGCAGGGAAGAAGCGAAAGUGACGGUACCUGGAUAAGAAGCCCCGGCUUAACUUCGUGCCAGCAGCCCGCGGUAAUACGGAGGGGUGCGAGCGUUAAUCGGAAUUACUGGGCGUAAAGGGUGCGUAGGUGGUUUGAUAAGUUAUCUGUGAAAUACCUGAGCUUAACUUAGGGAGGUUCAGAUAAAGACUGUUUGGACUCGAGUAUGGGAGAGGGUAGCUGGAAAUUUCCGGUUGUUAGCGGUGAAAUGCCGUAGAGAUUCGGAAGGAACACCCUGUGGCGAAAGGCGGCUUACCUGGGCCCAAUACUGACACUGGGGUCACGAAAGCGUUGGGGAGCAAACAGGAUUAGAUACCUCUGGUAGUCCUACGCUUUGUAAACGAUGUCAACUCAAGCUGUUGGUUAUAUGAAUAUAAUUAGUGGCGCAGCAAACGCGAUAAGUUGACCGCCUGGGGAGUACAGUCGC